ACCGGCGUGGCGGGUUCUUUGCGCGGAGCUUGGCACACGAAUGAUGGUGAGCUAUGCCCGGGCAGGACGAGGCCAGACGAAACUCUGGUGGAGGUCCGAAGCGCUUGUGACGUGCAAAUCGAUCAUCCCACCCAGGUAUAGGGGCGAAAAACUGAUCAAACCAUCUAGUAGCUGGUUUCCUCCGAAGUUUUCAUCAAGAUAGCUGACGCUUGUUGCCGAGACCAGUCAGUCACACCUGGUAAAACGUAUCAUUAGAGGCAUUGGGGACGAAACGACCUAAACCUAUUUUCUAAUUGUCAAUGGGUGUGUCGGAGGCCUUCUGGCCUGAGGCCUCCGGAAGCGAUGAAAGUGCCAAGUGGGCCACGUUUGGUAAGCAAAACAUGCGCUGUGGGAUGAACCAAACGCCGGGGUAAGGCGCCCAAUGCGGGACGGUCAUGAGAUCACAUGAAGCGUGUUGGUUGCUUAAGACAGCAGGGCGAUGGCCAUGGAAGUCGGAACCUGCUAAGGAGUGUUUAACAACUCACCUGCCGAAGCAACUGGCCCCGAGACUGGAUGGCGCUCUAGUGUCGAGCCUAUCGCCGGCUGCUGCCGGUAGGUGCACGCAAACAAGGGGGUGCUAAGCUGCAGCGAGCAGGAGGGCCGCUGCAGUGAGCGUUGAACGUGACGGGCAUAAGCCCGCCUGGAGCCGCCGCUAGUGCAGAUCUUGGUGGUAGUAGCCAAUACUCAAGUCAGAACCUUGAGAACUGAAGUGGAGAAGGGUUCCAUGUGAACAGCAGUUGAACAUGGGUCAGUCGGUCCUAAGGAAAGGGAGAAGUUCUUUCCGUAGCGGGAGCACCUUUUUGCAGUGGAGAGAACUCCGCAGUGACUGAAAGCGAAUCUGGUUAAUAAUCCCGGACACGGAGAUUGGUUCUUCGGGGCCCAGUGCGGUAACGCAAACCAGCUUGGAGACGCCGGUGCGAGCCCCGGGAAGAGUUUUCUUUUCUCUGUAAGGAGAUCGAGUCCCUGGAAUGGGUUCGCCCCGAGAUAAGGAUGGCGGCUCCGUAGAGCAGUGUGGCUCUUGCGCUGUCCGGUGCGCUCGCGUUGGCCCUUGAAAAUCCGAGGGAGGGAGUGUGAUUUUCGUGCCGGACCAUACACACAUCCGUAGCAGGUCUCUAAGGUACGUUGUCAAGCU
RNAcentral lists this non-coding RNA (1171 nucleotides) under Ixodes scapularis (black-legged tick). RNAcentral's name for it is "Eukaryotic large subunit ribosomal RNA". It matches the Rfam family "Eukaryotic large subunit ribosomal RNA", at positions 780 to 1881 of the family's 3401-position model. Lineage: Eukaryota; Metazoa; Arthropoda; Arachnida; Ixodida; Ixodidae. The record is from Rfam by way of RNAcentral.